Molecule: long non-coding RNA, 403 nt
Organism: Engraulis encrasicolus (European anchovy)
Lineage: Eukaryota; Metazoa; Chordata; Actinopteri; Clupeiformes; Engraulidae
Exons: 2
Source: RefSeq, a predicted model, not a curated record
AUUACAUUCGUAAGGAGGCCAAACCAAAGGACAAAGCCGGACUGAUAACGGCGAUUCGGACAUUUUGGACGUCCAAGCUCACACGGGAGCGCUGCAAUAGGUACAUUGAUCACCUGGAUACAGUCAUCGACCAAAUCAUCGAUCUAGGUGGUGAGCCCACUGGUAGGUGAAGGGAAACAGCGCACUACUGCACAAACAACAGGCCGAGUCGCAGGAGACACAGCGAAAGGGACGGAACGCAAUUCUGGUUAAGCCGGGCAGAAAGGAUGUUUUCUGCUGUCUUUAUCUGCAGUGUAGCCUACAGUACAUUAGGCAACUUGUAAAGGCUGCUGUGUAGGCAUUGUCUACUAAAACUCUGUAGGCCUACUUGUGAAAUAAAUUUACACUCUUGCUGAAAUUUCAA